Molecule: non-coding RNA, 290 nt
Organism: Paramisgurnus dabryanus
Lineage: Eukaryota; Metazoa; Chordata; Actinopteri; Cypriniformes; Cobitidae
Source: RefSeq, a predicted model, not a curated record
CAGCAAAAAAAAAUUUAUUUUCUCAUUUAUUGGAAUGCUGUGCAGGUAUUUGUACCUUGCAGCCAUCCAUUACAAUGUCACCAAGCCGUAACAAAAGCAGGAGAGGGAAAGUACAAGGCUAUGUUCCCAAAACACACAAGUGACAUACCUUAUGUGGAGGAUGUGAUCAGGCUUGUGUUUGAUGAGGUAUUUGAAGAUAAGCUGAAGGAAGCCCUGAUUCCAAUGGACCUGGCAUCACAGUUUGAGAGACCUUCAAAGGAGGACGUGAUUGCAUGCCAUCUUCAGUGCAG